This 253-nucleotide ribosomal RNA is filed under the name uncultured bacterium. RNAcentral's name for it is "partial 16S ribosomal RNA". It matches the Rfam family "Bacterial small subunit ribosomal RNA", at positions 524 to 776 of the family's 1533-position model. The record is from RNAcentral.
UACGAAGGGGGCUAGCGUUGCUCGGAAUCACUGGGCGUAAAGGGUGCGUAGGCGGGUCUUUAAGUCAGGGGUGAAAUCCUGGAGCUCAACUCCAGAACUGCCUUUGAUACUGAGGAUCUUGAGUUCGGGGAGAGGUGAGUGGAACUGCGAGUGUAGAGGUGAAAUUCGUAGAUAUUCGCAAGAACACCAGUGGCGAAGGCGGCUCACUGGCCCGAUACUGACGCUGAGGCGCGAAAACGUGGGGACAAACAGG